UACGGAGGGGGCGAGCGUUCUUCGGAAUUAUUGGGCGUAAAGCGCACGUAGGCGGCCGAAUAAGUCGGGUGUGAAAGCCCUGGGCUCAACCCAGGAAGUGCACUCGAUACUGCUCGGCUUGAGUAUGGAAGAGGGUUGCGGAAUUCCCGGUGUAGAGGUGAAAUUCGUAGAUAUCGGGAGGAACACCAGUGGCGAAGGCGGCAACCUGGGCCAAUACUGACGCUGAGGCGCGAAGGCGUGGGGAGCAAACAGG
This 253-nucleotide ribosomal RNA is filed under the name uncultured bacterium. RNAcentral's name for it is "partial 16S ribosomal RNA". It matches the Rfam family "Bacterial small subunit ribosomal RNA", at positions 524 to 776 of the family's 1533-position model. The record is from RNAcentral.